UAUUUACACAAAAAUUUUGAAAAAAGUCGGAGGCAGUCACUGCUUGUGGAGUUUGGUGUGAUAUUACCAGGAGCUGGUUUCAGCUCCAGUACAAAUAUAAGGAGUUUGAGCAAUAAUUGAACAGACCAUGUCAGAGUUUGAGGUGGAGACACCUAUAUCCAGCACCAGAGAUCAAGAAUCAGAUCGGGAAGAAGAAUCUAUUGAAAAGAAGUUGACCUUUGAAAUUCCUGACCCUGAGGGAGAAGGUCAUCAGCACAAAGUAACAGUAAAGAAAAAAAGGAUAUGACGUACUGGCAAUCGCAUCAUCUCACUCAGGGUCUUUCCGCCAGAGUUCGGAAAAACAACCUUGAAUGUAUUAACAUCACCUGAUGUUAAAG
Long non-coding RNA from Saccostrea cuccullata (small rock oyster), 377 nucleotides. RefSeq lists it as uncharacterized. The record is from RefSeq and is a predicted model, not a curated record. NCBI's taxonomy places the organism in Eukaryota, Metazoa, Mollusca, Bivalvia, Ostreida, Ostreidae. The transcript is spliced from 4 exons.